Molecule: long non-coding RNA, 811 nt
Filed under: Sinocyclocheilus grahami
Lineage: Eukaryota; Metazoa; Chordata; Actinopteri; Cypriniformes; Cyprinidae
Description: lncRNA (ENSSGRG00000000919.1)
Source: RNAcentral
AUUAUGAAGUUAAUAAGAAUAUUAAAAGCCGCUUUCGAUCUUUUGAAGGACCCCCGGAUUGAGCCUGCCCUGACAAAUGCCACAUGCUGCCCAAAAAGAGUAAUUAACAACAAACUAAUCAACCCAUCACUCAGGAGGCCAAACCCAUACGGCAUAUCCCACAGAGAGAGAACAGAUAGGGCUGUGAACAGGAAGAGGCCUGCGAAUGCAACUUCUCGAGCAUACAGAGCCUGGUUUCAGUGGUGGAGGUGUCAACUAUCAAUGGAUGAUUAUCUUGACUACAUUUCCAGUCAGGACUCCGAUUAUCUGUCAGUGCUGUUUCACUUGUAUGACAGUGAUGAUGAUGAAGAGGCAGAGAGACACAAGCUGGCUCAGCUGCAGCAAGACGAGAGGAGAAGAAGGCAACAGGAAAGGAUCAGUUCACUUAGGAGACAGAAACAAGAAUGUGUUCCUGGAUUCUGGAACAUCAACACCAUAGAGAUGGGAGGAUUGGGAAGGGAACCAGAACUGGAUGGCAUGUUGUAGUUUUCUUAAAAAAAAAAAAAUACUGGUACAUUUAUGAAAAUGCAUUAUUUAGUGUCAAAAACGACAUGAAUGAAUGUAGAAAUAUCUGUGUUUCAGAGAAAAAUCCAGAAGAGGAAAUACAAGAUGCAUCUGAGGGAGAUGAAGGUGAAGGUGCUGGACUGCUGGAUGGAGAACAGAUGCAGGUCAGGCUGGAGAGGGUCUGGAACGCCCUGCUUCUGCCAGAAGGACAGCGACUAGACAUGGCCAUUAAAUACAGCUCUCAUGAGUACAGGAACCAUCUGCAGGA